UGUGGGUUAGAUAAAGAGUAUAGAAUCUUUUUUGUAGACUUACAUCGUUGGAAACGCCUCAUAGAAUAAAUAUGUUGUUUCCUUUAUUCACAGAACUGUGUGUUAGAUCUGUGGGAAGGAAUUACAAGACAGCU
RNAcentral lists this small nucleolar RNA (134 nucleotides) under Myotis lucifugus (little brown bat). The record is from RNAcentral. Lineage: Eukaryota; Metazoa; Chordata; Mammalia; Chiroptera; Vespertilionidae.